GGAUAAUAGUUAAAUAUAACAUUUAAUUUGCAUUUAAAAAGUAUUGCUAGACAAUUUAUCUUA
Molecule: transfer RNA, 63 nt
Filed under: Sagra femorata
Lineage: Eukaryota; Metazoa; Arthropoda; Insecta; Coleoptera; Chrysomelidae
Description: tRNA-Ala
Source: RNAcentral